AUGAGAACUGUCAGAAUUAAUCGGUCUACCAAUAGAUGUUGCCAAGUUUCAACUUCAUGGCUUGUUAAGUAAAGGUGGCUAUGGCACAGUCCGAGAGGGUACUUUUGAUACGAAACCUUAAUUCGCACACUUGAUCCAACGUUGCCAAGUCACUAAAAUCUCAAUAUUUGACACCAAUUUGACAAUUGACAGAUUAUCUUUUAAAUAUAAAUUUAAAUAGUUAUGAAGUUAUGAACAAAACUGAACAAAACAAAGUCGAGAACAAUGGAUUGAUUAAUGGAUAUGUAAAAGCCAUAAGGAGAACAGAACUAAAAUUAAAAUAUGAAAUAAACAUUGUAUAAAAGUGGAAAGCCAGCCACUUUAAAAAGAUAUUCCAAACUAAAACAUGGGUUACCAAAGCAGGCAAUAAAAAGAAAAGGUGAUUUAGAAUGCAAGAGAAGAGCUGAUGAAAGAAGUAAAUGUAAAGAAAAUAAUGAAGAGACUUCUCUCGACUAUGAACAAACACCAGCUAUUUUAUAUAUGUAGAAAAAGGAAAAACUGCUGGAACUUUACUUUAAAGGCUUUUGACUAGUGAAGAUUUGGAUAAACAACAGGAGUUACUUUGGGCUAUAGCUACGUGCAAAUUUAUUUUCUUGUGGCUUCCUAUAUUUAUUCUUAUUAACUAUAUCUACACUUUGAUAUGUUUUUAGUCGCAUGAAGAUUUUAUAGUUUAUUAUUUUAUGUAUAUUGUUAUAUUUGUGUUGAAUAAACAUUAUUAUUAUUA
Molecule: long non-coding RNA, 763 nt
Filed under: Diabrotica virgifera virgifera (western corn rootworm)
Lineage: Eukaryota; Metazoa; Arthropoda; Insecta; Coleoptera; Chrysomelidae
Description: uncharacterized LOC126884337
Source: RNAcentral